GAUGAACGCUGGCGGCGUGCUUAACACAUGCAAGUCGAACGAAGCAUUUAGGACAGAUUACUUCGGUUUGCAGUUCUUUAUGACUGAGUGGCGGACGGGUGAGUAACGCGUGGGUAACCUGCCUUGUACUGGGGGAUAGCAGCUGGAAACGGCUGGUAAUACCGCAUAAGCGCACAAUGUUGCAUGACAUGGUGUGAAAAACUCCGGUGGUAUAAGAUGGACCCGCGUCUGAUUAGCUAGUUGGUGAGAUAACAGCCCACCAAGGCGACGAUCAGUAGCCGACCUGAGAGGGUGACCGGCCACAUUGGGACUGAGACACGGCCCAGACUCCUACGGGAGGCAGCAGUGGGGAAUAUUGCACAAUGGAGGAAACUCUGAUGCAGCGACGCCGCGUGAGUGAAGAAGUAAUUCGUUAUGUAAAGCUCUAUCAGCAGGGAAGAUAGUGACGGUACCUGACUAAGAAGCUCCGGCUAAAUACGUG
RNAcentral lists this ribosomal RNA (481 nucleotides) under uncultured bacterium. RNAcentral's name for it is "partial 16S ribosomal RNA". It matches the Rfam family "Bacterial small subunit ribosomal RNA", at positions 28 to 507 of the family's 1533-position model. The record is from RNAcentral.